Molecule: ribosomal RNA, 938 nt
Filed under: uncultured bacterium
Lineage: Bacteria
Description: bacterial SSU rRNA
Rfam family: Bacterial small subunit ribosomal RNA
Source: RNAcentral
GGAUCACUGGUUUAAAGGUGCGUAGGCGGAAUAGUAAGUCAAUGGUGAAAGCNGCAGCUCACUGCAGAAUUGCCAUGAAACUGCUAUUCUUGAGUAUAGUCGAGGGGGCGGAAUGCGUAAUGUAGCGGUGAAAUGCAUAGAUAUUACGCAGAACACCAAUUGCGAAAGCAGCUUCCUAGACUAUUACUGACGCUGAGGCACGAAAGCGUGGGGAGCGAACAGGGUUAGAUACCNUGGUAGUCCACGCUGUAAACGAUGCUCACUCGCUGUUGGCGAUAUAUUGUCAGCGGUUAAGCAAAAGCUUUAAGUGAGCCACCUGGGAAGUACGUCCGCAAGGAUGAAACUCAAAGGAAUUGACGGGGGCCCGCACAACCGGUGGAACAUGUGGUUCAAUUCGAUGAUACGCGAGGAACCUUACCUGGGCUUAAAUGUAGAUUGACUUCCGCCGAAAGGUGGAUUUCCUUCGGGACAAACUACAAGGUGCUGCACGGCUGUCGUCAGCUCGUGCCGUGAGGUAUCGGGUUAAGUCCCAUAACGAGCGCAACCCCUAUCGCCAGUUGCCAGCACAUAAUGGUGGGAACUCUGGUGAAACUGCCGGUGCAAACCGUGAGGAAGGUGGGGAUGACGUCAAAUCAGCACGGCCCUUAUGUCCAGGGCUACACACGUGUUACAAUGGUCGGUACAACAGGAUGCCAAUCCGCAAGGAUGAGCUAAUCCCAAAAGCCGAUCUUAGUUCGGAUCGGAGUCUGCAAUUCGACUCCGUGAAGUUGGAUUCGCUAGUAAUCGCAGAUCAGCCAUGCUGCGGUGAAUACGUUCCCGGGCCUUGUACACACCGCCCGUCAAGCCAUGGAAGCCGGGGGUGCCUGAAGUCCGUAACCGUAAGGAGCGGCCCAGGGUAAAACCGGUAACUGGGGCUAAGUCGUAACAAGGUAGCCAAG